CCUACGGGAGGCAGCAGUAAGGAAUAUUGGUCAAUGGACGCAAGUCUGAACCAGCCAUGCCGCGUGCAGGAUGACGGCCCUCUGGGUUGUAAACUGCUUUUAUACGGGAAGAAACCUCUGGUUGCGAUCAGAGCUGACGGUACCGUAAGAAUAAGGACCGGCUAACUUCGUGCCAGCAGCCGCGGUGAUACGAAGGGUCCAAGCGUUAUCCGGAUUUAUUGGGUUUAAAGGGUGCGUAGGCGGCUUAUUAAGUCAGUGGUGAAAGACUUCAGCUUAACUGAAGAACUGCCAUUGAUACUGAUGAGCUUGAAUAUACUUGAGGUGGGCGGAAUGUGUCAUGUAGCGGUGAAAUGCUUAGAUAUGACACAGAACACCGAUUGCGAAGGCAGCUCGCUAAAGUAUGAUUGACGCUGAUGCACGAAAGCGUGGGGAGCAAACAGGAUUAGAUACCCUGGUAGUCCACGCCCUAAACGUUGAUAACUCGAUGUGUGCGAUAUACAGUACGCGUCCAAGCGAAAGCAUUAAGUUAUCCACCUGGGAAGUACGGUCGCAAGAUUGAAACUCAAAAGGGAAUUGACGGCNGAGAGNGCGAGGACGACACGAGGGAGAG
Molecule: ribosomal RNA, 610 nt
Filed under: uncultured bacterium
Lineage: Bacteria
Description: bacterial SSU rRNA
Rfam family: Bacterial small subunit ribosomal RNA
Source: RNAcentral